GCACUAUCUAAAUGCGUGAAGUAAAUGUAUACGGAAGAAAAGCAGGUGCAUCAAAGAACACAGCCACAUAAACACCCUCCUGGGAUCACGGAAGGGGCCUGCGCAGGCCAGGGGCGUGAAGCUCCGACCCGAGCAGCCGCAGAGCGCCUCUGCCUCUGACAUGAACAGAGGGGUCAAUCGCUGCCUGUAUUUCCUCCAGGCAGUGGGGGAAGCAGGCGUGUUUAUGAUGACAAAGGCCUUACACCAGUGUCCCAGGCUGUCCUCACCAUCGCAGGAUGUAGAGCCAGCUCCCUCCGGGGACAGCUGUGUAGGUACAGCACCAUCACCUACGCACCUUUAAGAGUCAAGACAAAGGGUAACUAGUCUUUAACAGAACUUGGCAGUUACACAGAGUUCCUUCUAACUUUACUGUGAUGACUGGAGCCGCCAUCUAUGGUGCCUGAGUGGCCUUAUCCAGAGAAGAGAGAAACCUCUAGCAUCUCCGUGGUUGGAGAGCUUUGCGACUUGGACACCCACC
This is a long non-coding RNA of Manis pentadactyla (Chinese pangolin), 517 nucleotides long. RefSeq lists it as uncharacterized. The record is from RefSeq and is a predicted model, not a curated record. NCBI's taxonomy places the organism in Eukaryota, Metazoa, Chordata, Mammalia, Pholidota, Manidae. The transcript has 3 exons.